This 217-nucleotide unclassified non-coding RNA is filed under the name Hevea brasiliensis (rubber tree). Lineage: Eukaryota; Viridiplantae; Streptophyta; Magnoliopsida; Malpighiales; Euphorbiaceae. The record is from RNAcentral.
GAUGGAGGAGGAGCAGCCGGAGUGGCGGGUGGAGGGGCAGCAGGGGUGGCUGGCGGAGGAGCGGUAGUAUUGGUAGACGGAGGAGGCGCGGUGGUGUUAGUCGACGGCGGAGACGUGGGAGUAGGAGCUGACAUUUUUCACGGAACAGCUAAAUUUUUUUUUUUUUUGAGUAUUUUAAGAAAUAGAUAAUUUAGAGAGAGAGAGAGAGAGAGAGAGA